UACGUAGGGGGCAAGCGUUGUCCGGAAUUAUUGGGCGUAAAGAGCUCGUAGGCGGUCUGUUACGUCUGCUGUGAAAACCCUGGGCUUAACCCUGGGCUUGCAGUGGAUACGGGCAGACUAGAGGCAGGUAGGGGAGAAUGGAAUUCCCGGUGUAGCGGUGAAAUGCGCAGAUAUCGGGAGGAACACCGGUGGCGAAGGCGGUUCUCUGGGCCUGACCUGACGCUGAGGAGCGAAAGCGUGGGGAGCGAACAGG
RNAcentral lists this ribosomal RNA (253 nucleotides) under uncultured bacterium. Its description in RNAcentral is "partial 16S ribosomal RNA". It matches the Rfam family "Bacterial small subunit ribosomal RNA", at positions 524 to 776 of the family's 1533-position model. The record is from RNAcentral.